UCCAGACUCCUACGGGAGGCAGCAGUGGGGAAUAUUGCACAAUGGGGGAAACCCUGAUGCAGCGACGCCGCGUGAGUGAAGAAGUAUUUCGGUAUGUAAAGCUCUCUCAGCAGGGAAGAAAUAGCGACCUUUGGGUCGCCAGACGGUACCUGAUUAAGAAGCCCCGGCUAACUACGUGCCAGCAGCCGCGGUAAUACGUAGGGGGCAAGCGUUAUCCGGAUUUACUGGGUGUAAAGGGAGCGUAGACGGCAGCGCAAGUCUGAAGUGAAAUGCCGGGGCUUAACCCCGGAACUGCUUUGGAAACUGUGCAGCUGGAGUGCAGGAGAGGUAAGUGGAAUUCCUAGUGUAGCGGUGAAAUGCGUAGAUAUUAGGAGGAACACCAGUGGCGAAGGCGGCUUACUGGACUGUAACUGACGUUGAGGCUCGAAAGCGUGGGGAGCAAACAGGAUUAGAUACCCGUGUAAA
Molecule: ribosomal RNA, 465 nt
Filed under: uncultured bacterium
Lineage: Bacteria
Description: bacterial SSU rRNA
Rfam family: Bacterial small subunit ribosomal RNA
Source: RNAcentral